RNAcentral lists this ribosomal RNA (656 nucleotides) under uncultured bacterium. RNAcentral's name for it is "bacterial SSU rRNA". It matches the Rfam family "Bacterial small subunit ribosomal RNA", at positions 8 to 656 of the family's 1533-position model. The record is from RNAcentral.
AGAGUUUGAUCCUGGCUCAGAUUGAACGCUAGCGGCAGGCCUAACACAUGCAAGUCGAACGGUAACAGGAAGAAGCUUGCUUCUUUGCUGACGAGUGGCGGACGGGUGAGUAAUGUCUGGGAAACUGCCUGAUGGAGGGGGAUAACUACUGGAAACGGUAGCUAAUACCGCAUAACGUCGCAAGACCAAAAAGGGGGACCUUCGGGCCUCUUGCCAUCGGAUGUGCCCAGAUGGGAUUAGCUAGUAGGUGGGGUAACGGCUCACCUAGGCGACGAUCCCUAGCUGGUCUGAGAGGAUGACCAGCCACACUGGAACUGAGACACGGUCCAGACUCCUACGGGAGGCGGCAGUGGGGAAUAUUGCACAAUGGGCGCAAGCCUGAUGCACCAUGCCGCGUGUAUGAAGAAGCCUUCGGGUUGUAAAGUACUUUCACGGGGAGGAANGGAGUAAAGGUAAUACCUUUGCUCAUUUGACGNUACCCGCAGAAGAACACCGGCUAACUUCGUGCCACAAGCCGCGGUAAUACNGAGGGUGCAAGCCGUUAAUCGGAANUACUGGGCGUAAACCCCCCCAGCCGGUUUGUUAAGUCAAAUGUGAAAAUCCCCGGCUCAACCUGGGAAAUUGGUUUGAAACUGGCAAGCUUGAGNUUUUUAAAA